This 76-nucleotide transfer RNA is filed under the name Escherichia coli. RNAcentral describes it as "tRNA-Asn". It matches the Rfam family "tRNA". From Rfam's summary of the family: Transfer RNA (tRNA) molecules are approximately 80 nucleotides in length. The record is from RNAcentral. Lineage: Bacteria; Pseudomonadati; Pseudomonadota; Gammaproteobacteria; Enterobacterales; Enterobacteriaceae.
GGGUCGUUAGCGAAGUUGGUAUAGCAGUUGAGUGUUAAUCAAUCGCUCGCAGGUGCGACUCCUUCACGACCCACGA